RNAcentral lists this ribosomal RNA (763 nucleotides) under uncultured archaeon. RNAcentral's name for it is "bacterial SSU rRNA". It matches the Rfam family "Archaeal small subunit ribosomal RNA", at positions 101 to 862 of the family's 1478-position model. The record is from RNAcentral.
UGGAUAACCUGCCCUUGGGACCGGCAUAACCCCGGGAAACUGGGGAUAAUUCCGGAUACCGCAUAUAUGCUGGAAUGCUUUAUGCGUGAAAUGGAUUCGUCUGCCCAAGGAUGGGUCUGCGGCCUAUCAGGUAGUAGUGGGUGUAAUGUACCUACUAGCCUACAACGGGUACGGGUUGUGAGAGCAAGAGCCCGGAGAUGGAUUCUGAGACAUGAAUCCAGGCCCUACGGGGCGCAGCAGGCGCGAAAACUUUACAAUGCGGGAAACCGUGAUAAGGGGACACCGAGUGCCAGCAUCAUAUGCUGGCUGUCCAGGUGUGUAAAAUACACCUGUUAGCAAGGGCCGGGCAAGACCGGUGCCAGCCGCCGCGGUAACACCGGCGGCCCGAGUGGUGAUCGUGAUUAUUGGGUCUAAAGGGUCCGUAGCCGGUUUGGUCAGUCCUCCGGGAAAUCUGACAGCUCAACUGUUAGGCUUUCGGGGGAUACUGCCAGACUUGGAACCGGGAGAGGUAAGAGGUACUACAGGGGUAGGAGUGAAAUCUUGUAAUCCCUGUGGGACCACCUGUGGCGAAGGCGUCUUACCAGAACGGGUUCGACGGUGAGGGACGAAAGCUGGGGGCACGAACCGGAUUAGAUACCCGGGUAGUCCCAGCCGUAAACGAUGCUCGCUAGGUGUCAGGCAUGGCGCGACCGUGUCUGGUGCCGCAGGGAAGCCGUGAAGCGAGCCACCUGGGAAGUACGGCCGCAAGGCUGAAACUUAAAGG